ACUACGUGCCAGCAGCCGCGGUAAUACGUAGGUCCCGAGCGUUGUCCGGAUUUAUUGGGCGUAAAGCGAGCGCAGGCGGUUUGAUAAGUCUGAAGUAAAAGACUGUGGCUUAACCAUAGUACGCUUUGGAAACUGUCAAACUUGAGUGCAGAAGGGGAGAGUGGAAUUCCAUGUGUAGCGGUGAAAUGCGUAGAUAUAUGGAG
This 203-nucleotide ribosomal RNA is filed under the name Streptococcus suis. RNAcentral describes it as "partial 16S ribosomal RNA". It matches the Rfam family "Bacterial small subunit ribosomal RNA", at positions 500 to 703 of the family's 1533-position model. The record is from RNAcentral. Lineage: Bacteria; Bacillati; Bacillota; Bacilli; Lactobacillales; Streptococcaceae.